Molecule: transfer RNA, 55 nt
Filed under: Encalypta pilifera
Lineage: Eukaryota; Viridiplantae; Streptophyta; Bryopsida; Encalyptales; Encalyptaceae
Description: partial tRNA-Phe
Source: RNAcentral
AGCUCAGUUGGUAGAGCAGAGGACUGAAAAUCCUCGUGUCACCAGNUUCAAAUAA